Molecule: ribosomal RNA, 253 nt
Filed under: uncultured archaeon
Lineage: Archaea
Description: partial 16S ribosomal RNA
Rfam family: Archaeal small subunit ribosomal RNA
Source: RNAcentral
UACCGGCGCCUCAAGUGGUAGUCGAUUUUAUUGGGCCUAAAGCAUCCGUAGCCUGUUCUGUAAGUUUUCGGUUAAAUCUAUGCGCUCAACGUAUAGGCUGCCGAAAAUACUGCAGAACUAGGGAGUGGGAGAGGUAGACGGUACUCGGUAGGAAGGGGUAAAAUCCUUUGAUCUAUUGAUGACCACCUGUGGCGAAGGCGGUCUACCAGAACACGUUCGACGGUGAGGGAUGAAAGCUGGGGGAGCAAACCGG